RNAcentral lists this ribosomal RNA (292 nucleotides) under uncultured bacterium. Its description in RNAcentral is "partial 16S ribosomal RNA". The record is from RNAcentral. RNAcentral also lists the same sequence under 2 other names.
GGACUACUGGGGUAUCUAAUCCCGUUUGCUCCCCUGGCUUUCGCGCCUCAGCGUCAGCAGAGGUCCAGCGUGUCGCUUUCGCCACCGGCGUUCCUUCCGAUAUCUACGCAUUUCACCGCUCCACCGGAAGUUCCACACGCCCCUACCUCCCUCGAGACGACUGGUUUCGGCAGCCCUUCUCCCGUUGAGCAGGAGGAUUUCACUACCGACCCUGUCGCCCGCCUACGCGCCCUUUAAGCCCAGUGAAUCCGAACAACGUUUGCACGGUUCGUCUUACCGCGGCUGCUGGCAC